ACUCGCGGACGAUCUCUGCUCGCCUUGGGCGCGCCGUGGCGCGCGGGGCCGUGCUGGCGCUGCGGCUCCUCGGCCUGCUCCGCCGUCUGGUGGCCGCCCCGGGCUGACUUUGACUUAGCGAUGCCUUUCCUGAUGGAGGAAACAGUGACCCAGCACCACCUAAUGCCCCCAAACCAAAGCCAGAUCCAAACCCCAACCGACCUGGUUUCACUGGUGACCCAGCACCACCUAAUCCCCCCAAACCAAAGCCAGAUCCAAAUCCCAACUGACCUGGUUUCACUGAUAAGAGCCUCUAACCCUACGGGGUGGUCUCUAUGUUGUUUACCUGGCAGUGAUGUCCGUGUCAUCUGAGAAGAGGAGAUUUCAGGGGCUGACUUUGACUUAGCAGAUGCCUUUCGUGAUGGAGGAAAUAACGACCCAGCACCUCUUAAUUCACCCAAGCUGAAGCCAAAUGCGAACCCUGAGCAGCCUGGAUUCAUUGGGGAUGACUUUGACUUAGCAGAUGCCUUACAUGACAAAGGAAACUACGAGCCAGCACCACUGAACCCACCCAAACCAAAGCCAAAUCCAAACCCCAAGCAGCCUGAUUCCACCGGGGAUGACUUUGAUUUCACAGAUGUUUCUUCAUGGUGAACGAAACAGCACCCUGGGACCAUCCUGGCUGGAAGGCAUAGUGACAUUGCUGGCCUGAGCUGAAGUGCCGAUUAAAAUAAAUUGAAAGCUGAAUUACCUUAUGAACAGCUGCUUUACCCAGGAACAAAUGUGGAGAGGAACUCCUUGAAACUGUGUUCUCAAGUAGACCACUUUUGAGAAAUUAUACAUUUAUCAUAACAUCUCAAGUCCUGCUCUACAUAGAAUGACCAUUAUUAUCAAGAAAAGUUCUCCAUUCCCUGUAAUUCAUAAGGCAAUGCAGGCCUAACCAGAAAACAGGAACUGCGACAACCUUGCAUCAGACACAUUCGAUCUCUCUAUUCAUAGUUGCAUUCUCUUUUUUUUUGUUUACAAAGCCAAUCACCAAUAACUCGGAAAACAAAAACAAAAAAAAAAA
Molecule: long non-coding RNA, 1048 nt
Organism: Homo sapiens (human)
Lineage: Eukaryota; Metazoa; Chordata; Mammalia; Primates; Hominidae
Gene: CD99P1
Product: CD99 molecule pseudogene 1
Source: Ensembl